This 148-nucleotide ribosomal RNA is filed under the name uncultured Flavobacterium sp. RNAcentral's name for it is "16S ribosomal RNA". It matches the Rfam family "Bacterial small subunit ribosomal RNA", at positions 339 to 484 of the family's 1533-position model. The record is from RNAcentral. Lineage: Bacteria; Pseudomonadati; Bacteroidota; Flavobacteriia; Flavobacteriales; Flavobacteriaceae.
CUACGGGAGGCAGCAGUGAGGAAUAUUGGACAAUGGGCGCAAGCCUGAUCCAGCCAUGCCGCGUGCAGGAUGACGGUCCUAUGGAUUGUAAACUGCUUUUGUACGGGAAGAAACACUCUUACGUGUAGGAGCUUGACGGUAUCGUAAG